Long non-coding RNA from Dipodomys ordii (Ord's kangaroo rat), 697 nucleotides. RefSeq lists it as uncharacterized. The record is from RefSeq and is a predicted model, not a curated record. The transcript is spliced from 4 exons. NCBI's taxonomy places the organism in Eukaryota, Metazoa, Chordata, Mammalia, Rodentia, Heteromyidae.
AGAGUCUCAGAUCCUGGUGGGCACUGUGAGAAGGGCCCAGCUGGUGCAGGCCCUCCAUGCUGAGUCAGCUUGCUGGGUGGCAGGCCAACAGUGCUGUCUCCAGGACCUCUUGGCUGGGGGCUGCCCCAUGGAACCAGUGACCCUACAGCUGUCCCCAGAGACCUCCCUGCACCAGACGCACCACCUGUUUGAGCUGUUGAACCUGCAGUUGCUCUAUGUGACAUCGCGGGGCAGAGCUGUGGGCGCCGUGACCUGGGAGGAGUUAAAGAAAGCGAUUUCCACCCUGACCAACCCACCAGCCCCCAAGUGAGCCGGCCUGGUCAGUGAGAGCAGGUGCGCAGCUGCCUGGGGCUGGACAGGGCCCCUGCCUCUCCCUAGAUGCCACCACCCGUCAUCACCUGCCCCAGCCCCUCCCCACUGUACAGGGGAGCUGGCAGCUCUUCUCUAGCCCUUCUGUCCCAUCCUGGGGCCAGCGGCUGUUGCCUAGAAAGCCAAACCCCACCCUGGAUGCAGCAAGGAGUGGGAGUUGGAGAAGAAAUGGAGGAUACCCACUGCCUGGCCCCAUUCAUGAAUGAAGAGAUUGGUACGUGUCAGCGCCAAGUGCCGGCACCCAUGUUCCCAGGCAGAUGCUCCUGAGCAAAAUAAAGCUGAUGCCCAGAGCUGCUGUUCAUCCCUAGCCUGCCUGCAGGCUGCGCCG